ACACGCAUGACACACUGCAUAUCAAUAAGCGGAGGAAAAGAAACUAACGAGGAUUCCCUUAGUAACGGCGAGUGAAGCGGGAAGAGCUCAAAUUUGAAAUCUUCAAGGUUCUACCUUGACGAAUUGUAGUUUAUAGAAGUGUUUUCUGUUAGUAGAGUGGCAAAAGUUCUCUGGAAUAGGACAUCAUAGAGGGUGAGAAUCCCGUAUUUGGUCAUUCUUUCUAGCUUUGUGAUACACUUUCAACGAGUCGGAUUGUUUGGGAAUGCAGUCCAAAAUGGGUGGUAAAUUUCAUCUAAAGCUAAAUAUUGGCGAGAGACCGAUAGCGAACAAGUACCGUGAGGGAAAGAUGAAAAGAACUUUGAAAAGAGAGUUAAACAGUACGUGAAAUUGUCAAAAGGGAAGCGUUUGACACCAGUGUUGUUUUUCCGAAAAUCAAUUACGAAUGUUUUAUUUUUGAGAAGUUAUGACUUCAUCGGCUUGCUUCUCUCUUUAUGAAACUUUCUUAAUGCACUUUUCGGUUAACAAGUCAACAUCAAUUUCUUUUGUUGUAAAAGUGUAUGAGGAAGGUGGCUUUCUUUUCGGAGAAAGUGUUUAUAGCCUUGUACCUCUGCAAUCGGAGAGAUUGAGGUCUGCAGCGUAGAUCCUUCGGGGUUAGAUACAUUUGUGCUAAGUUAUAGCUUUUCAUAGACAACUUGUUGACUAUGUUAAGUCUUGUAGCUUACUCGCUUAUGCUAUUUUACCUACGCUUAGGAUGUUGACGCAUGAGAUAUACGC
RNAcentral lists this ribosomal RNA (774 nucleotides) under uncultured Neocallimastigales. RNAcentral describes it as "partial large subunit ribosomal RNA". It matches the Rfam family "Eukaryotic large subunit ribosomal RNA", at positions 23 to 647 of the family's 3401-position model. Lineage: Eukaryota; Fungi; Neocallimastigomycota; Neocallimastigomycetes; Neocallimastigales. The record is from RNAcentral.